UACGGAGGGGGCUAGCGUUGUUCGGAAUUACUGGGCGUAAAGCGUGCGCAGGCGGUUUUGUAAGUCUGUUGUGAAAGCCCCGGGCUCAACCUGGGAAUUGCGAUGGAGACUGCAAGGCUAGAGUGUGUCAGAGGGGGGUGGAAUUCCACGUGUAGCAGUAAAAUGCGUAGAGAUGUGGAGGAACACCGAUGGCGAAGGCAGCCUCCUGGGCCAGCACUGACGCUCAUGCACGAAAGCGUGGGGAGCAAACAGG
This 253-nucleotide ribosomal RNA is filed under the name uncultured bacterium. RNAcentral describes it as "partial 16S ribosomal RNA". It matches the Rfam family "Bacterial small subunit ribosomal RNA", at positions 524 to 776 of the family's 1533-position model. The record is from RNAcentral.